UUGAACGCUGGCGGCAGGCCUAACACAUGCAAGUCGAGCGGAUGAAGGGGGCUUGCUCCUGGAUUCAGCGGCGGACGGGUGAGUAAUGCCUAGGAAUCUGCCUGGUAGUGGGGGAUAACGUCCGGAAACGGGCGCUAAUACCGCAUACGUCCUGAGGGAGAAAGUGGGGGAUCUUCGGACCUCACGCUAUCAGAUGAGCCUAGGUCGGAUUAGCUAGUUGGUGGGGUAAAGGCCUACCAAGGCGACGGUCCGUAACUGGUCUGAGAGGAUGAUCAGUCACACUGGAACUGAGACACGGUCCAGACUCCUACGGGAGGCAGCAGUGGGGAAUAUUGGACAAUGGGCGAAAGCCUGAUCCAGCCAUGCCGCGUGUGUGAAGAAGGUCUUCGGAUUGUAAAGCACUUUAAGUUGGGAGGAAGGGCAGUAAGUUAAUACCUUGCUGUUUUGACGUUACCAACAGAAUAAGCACCGGCUAACUUCGUG
Molecule: ribosomal RNA, 483 nt
Filed under: uncultured bacterium
Lineage: Bacteria
Description: partial 16S ribosomal RNA
Rfam family: Bacterial small subunit ribosomal RNA
Source: RNAcentral